UCCCUGGUCACUCAGAUGGUAAAGCGUCUGUCUACAAUGCAGGAGACCCAGGUUCGAUCCCUGGGUUGGGAA
Molecule: transfer RNA, 72 nt
Organism: Ovis aries (sheep)
Lineage: Eukaryota; Metazoa; Chordata; Mammalia; Artiodactyla; Bovidae
Rfam family: tRNA
About the family: Transfer RNA (tRNA) molecules are approximately 80 nucleotides in length. Their secondary structure includes four short double-helical elements and three loops (D, anti-codon, and T loops).
Source: Rfam